ACGGCCUACGGGUUGUAAACUGCUUUGCAGGGGAAUAAACCCCGAUCGUGAUCGGGGUUGAAUGUACUCUGAGAAUAAGGAUCGGCUAACUCCGUGC
Molecule: ribosomal RNA, 97 nt
Filed under: uncultured bacterium
Lineage: Bacteria
Description: partial 16S ribosomal RNA
Source: RNAcentral